AGAGUGAACGCUGGCGGUUGGCCUAACACAUGCAAGUCGAACGGCAGCACAGGAGAGCUUGCUCUCUGGGUGGCGAGUGGCGGGACGGGUGAGGAAUACAUCGGAAUCUACCUUUUCGUGGGGGAUAACGUAGGGAAACUUACGCUAAUACCGCAUAAGACCUUCGGGUGAAAGCCGGGGACCUUCGGGCCUGGCGCGGAUAGAUGAGCCGAUGUCGGAUUAGCUUGUUGGACGGGGUAAAAGCCC
RNAcentral lists this ribosomal RNA (246 nucleotides) under uncultured soil bacterium. Its description in RNAcentral is "partial 16S ribosomal RNA". It matches the Rfam family "Bacterial small subunit ribosomal RNA", at positions 26 to 266 of the family's 1533-position model. The record is from RNAcentral.